Long non-coding RNA from Mus musculus (house mouse), 516 nucleotides. RefSeq annotates it as predicted gene, 51980. The transcript has 3 exons. NCBI's taxonomy places the organism in Eukaryota, Metazoa, Chordata, Mammalia, Rodentia, Muridae. The record is from RefSeq and is a predicted model, not a curated record.
GACAAAAGAUGGAUGUCUAGGUAGAACUGACCCUCGAUCCUGAAACUGAAGUUAGCAAGGCUUAUCCCCUGCACUGGGAAGGAGGCAAUGCUGGUAUUUGAAUCCAGGCAGUUUGAUGCUGACAACUACUCUUUGAGCCUCUGCAGCUUACUAGAAAUGUGCCUAGUUAUGAAUGGAAUGCCUAACUACUGAAUGUACACUUCUAAGCGUGGCUUGAAUGUGAGACGGUAUACAAGGGCCUGGGUUCCAGCGAAGUUUGGGCAGAUCUUCCUGACUCCUAAACCAUAAAUCAUAUUUCCAAGUCUUCUUUGGGACACACCUCAGGGAGUAUCCCAGAGAUGGAGUUCCACCACUGCCUUCAGGAGGGUCCAGGGCCGAGUACUGCUUGUUCAUAAGUGAGAGUAAAAAUACCGAUCAGCAGCUGUAACGGGUGAGCUUCCAAGUGGCCUAGAACGGAGGAGGAUCCAGAAGCAAGCGGCAUGAUCUGCAGGCUGCGAUGGCAAGUCUGUUUUCAGU